UACGUAGGGGGCAAGCGUUAUCCGGAUUUACUGGGUGUAAAGGGAGCGUAGGCGGUGAUGCAAGUCAGAAGUGAAAGCCCGCAGCUCAACUGCGGGACUGCUUUUGAAACUGUAUGACUAGAUUGCAGGAGAGGUAAGUGGAAUUCCUAGUGUAGCGGUGAAAUGCGUAGAUAUUAGGAGGAACACCAGUGGCGAAGGCGGCUUACUGGACUGUAAAUGACGCUGAGGCUCGAAAGCGUGGGGAGCAAACA
This 251-nucleotide ribosomal RNA is filed under the name uncultured bacterium. RNAcentral's name for it is "partial 16S ribosomal RNA". It matches the Rfam family "Bacterial small subunit ribosomal RNA", at positions 524 to 774 of the family's 1533-position model. The record is from RNAcentral.